Molecule: long non-coding RNA, 1582 nt
Filed under: Bemisia tabaci
Lineage: Eukaryota; Metazoa; Arthropoda; Insecta; Hemiptera; Aleyrodidae
Description: lncRNA ENSSSA1NGG011311
Source: RNAcentral
AUGGGUCAGUUGCUUUGGUCACAGCAUUGUGCUUUGAUGCUUCUUUUUUGCAGAUUAGCUAAAAAAUAUUACGAUCUGUCAAAACAGCAACUUUCUACGGUCAAUAUUAACCGAGAUAUCGCCCUUCGAAAAUCCGGGUUUUUGACGUCAUCCACCGCGGUAGUGACACCCAUGGUUUCCCCCGUCUUGCUUUCAUCAGUGAGGGAGACACGAAUUUGCACUGGUCAUACUCAACAUGAAACAUGGAUGAAAGCAAGGUAAAAAAACCAAGGGUGUCACUACAGGGGUGAAUGGCGCAAGAAACCCGACUUCUCAAUGGGCGAUAUCUCGGUUCGUAUUAAACGCAGUAAGUUGCCGAUAGUGCAGAUAUUAUUAUUGUUAGCUAAUCUGCAAAGAUCAAUCAUGAAAAUACGAUUCUGUGACCAGCGCAAUUGACUCAUUUGAGAGAACUGCCCUAGAAAUCACCAGAAGCGUCCAAUCCUAUUUACUGCCCAGCCAAAGGGGGUGAAUUGGAUCGCAUGUACCGAAAAGGAACCAGCGCGAUUACAGUGUUGUAAAAAUGUCGUGCUUCAUAUUUAUGGAAAAAAAUAUCCCGGAAAUGCAAAAAGUUUGGGUUCUCACCGAAAGAUCGUUAAUUUGAAGGAAAUUAAGUAAUUGUGUAAAUUUUAAUACUAAACGUGUAUUGAGUGUUUGUAAAAGAAAAAGAAAAGUUGCUCGGCGUUGAAAACACCGUAGUCGCGCUGGUUCCUUUUUGCUAAAUGCGAUCCAAUUCACGAAAGGGCCUAAAUCUUAAAUAUAAAGUGAAGGUCAGUUUCGUCAAAAAUUGUCAAAAUUUUCUGGAUCUUUUUCCUGCAAAUUUUUAUACUCCGUCUUUUGAAUAAAUGACGCAAUUUUCUGGGUCGUUUAAGAAGUAGCUUUGUAACUGAUAUUUUGUUUCUAAUGCGGAAAGAAAAAUAUAAAUAUGCCCAUGUUUCGCUAGAUCUCUGGUGAAAACCCAUUGUUUUCCCGUCGUUUCUGUAUUUUCACAUCUCUCUGUGCGAAUGUGUGUCAAUUUGUACCUCUAAUAAAGUUUUGGAUAAAAAAGUUCGUUACAAUUUAUGACAUGUCUCCGGCAAUACAGCAAUUUUGAUUUCACACUCAUUCAUCCUAGUCGGGAGGGAGCGGGAGCCUCUAUGGUCCCGAGCGAACGAUCGAUUUUCGAUUUUUCCCCAUUGGAAGCUACACGGAAAAAAUGAGGUUAGGGCUGGGCCUCAGAAUUGCUUCACCUCAUACCCCACAGGGGCAGGCCCUGCGCGCAGCCCCACCUGGACGGGGUCCAGCCCUUACCAAGUUGGGCUGAACUCUAAAGCAGGUAGGUUUGGGCUCUACCCGCGCUGGGCCUGCCCCUGAGGUAAAGCAAUUUUACCUACCCGGUUAGGGCUGGGACCUUCCGCGUAGGUACCAGCCCUAAACUCGUUUUUUCCGCGUAUGGUAAAGAGUCGAUUUCUGAAGUGUUCUUUGCGAACACCCUGUUUGUCGAGCCUUCUCCAUAGGUUCAAAUGGCAGAAAAAUCGAUAUAUCGCGAAGCACACCACGCCACUGG